This 440-nucleotide ribosomal RNA is filed under the name uncultured bacterium. Its description in RNAcentral is "partial 16S ribosomal RNA". It matches the Rfam family "Bacterial small subunit ribosomal RNA", at positions 338 to 795 of the family's 1533-position model. The record is from RNAcentral.
CCUACGGGAGGCAGCAGUGGGGAAUAUUGCACAAUGGGGGAAACUCUGAUGCAGCGACGCCGCGUGAGUGAAGAAGUAUUUCGGUACGUAAAGCUCUAUCAGCAGGGAAGAAAAUGACGGUACCUGACUAAGAAGCCCCGGCUAACUACGUGCCAGCAGCCGCGGUAAUACGUAGGGGGCGAGCGUUAUCCGGAUUCAAUGGGGUGAAAGGGAGCGUAGACGGCCGUGCAAGGCAGGAGUGAAAGGCCGGGGCCCAACCCCGGGACUGCUCUUGGAACUGUGCGGCUAGAGUGCGGGAGGGGCAGGCGGAAUUCCUGGUGUAGCGGUGAAAUGCGUAGAUAUCAGGAGGAACACCGGCGGCGAAGGCGGCCUGCUGGACCGCGACUGACGUUGAGGCUCGAAAGCGUGGGGAGCGAACAGGAUUAGAUACCCGUGUAGUC